Molecule: transfer RNA, 88 nt
Filed under: Hepatozoon canis
Lineage: Eukaryota; Apicomplexa; Hepatozoidae
Description: tRNA-Tyr
Rfam family: tRNA
About the family: Transfer RNA (tRNA) molecules are approximately 80 nucleotides in length.
Source: RNAcentral
GAAUUGAUGCUCGAGUUUGGAUAAAAAGGGCGCACUGUAAAUGCGUUAGAUUUAUUUUUCUUACAUCGGUUCGAAUCCGAUUCAAUUC